AAGAAUUUUCAUUGAGAAGACUUUGGUAACGGACCCCGAGAGCGGGUUUGAUAUCCUUUCUUCUUCCGAAUUCUUUUAGAUACAACCUCGGUAAAACCAUCCUCAUCUGCCACAUUCGAACCAACUAGGGCAUUUUGAAUUGUUUCCAAAUCUUUAGUAAUAAUAGGGCAGCGAUGCGGAAUAACCGUAGCGAAGGGAUGCGACUUUGACAUAGGUGAGUCAGAGAGUAUUUCCUUGGCAUCACUUUCACCAUCAGACUCCUCCUCCUCAUUGAGCUGAAGUGCGACUGAUGUGGGAACAAUUUCAUGUUGUAACCGCUGUUUCGGAGCAAUCUCUUUGGGUGUGUCAAUAUUGCUGACAACUUCAACAUUAUUUUUGUCAAUCAAGUCAACAUUAUCACAAUCAUUUCCUUCCUGCACAUUGGACUGAGAUGCACCUGUUUUUGAUGUUAAUUCAUGUGGAAAAUUCAGCACCGAUUCAGCCACAGUGGGUAUAUCAUUAUUAUGUACAAUCUCAUCAGUGACGUUGUCAAGUGCCAAGCGAUACGAGAAUGCAGAUUUUUCACGACGGACUUUAAUGUGUUGUCAACCUCUCCUUCCUUGAAUCUAUGGGUAAAACACUUGAACUAUUUGUCUUUAUUUAUAACAGAAACAUAAACUUUUUUUUUUAAGAGACCAUUUUUUUAUUUCUUUAUUUUGUGUAGACCCAUGGCAAUCUACUUAUUUUUUCAUAUUUUCUUUUCCGACAAAAUAUGUUCUACUGUUACCCCACCCCAAACUUAAAAUGUUGUUAAUUCCAAAGAGCAACCACAAACUUAUUUUUAAACCAUACUCAGUCAAAAUUAUUCCUAUCUAACUCCAAGAGAAGUCAAACAGGGUACAUAUAAGGUUCAGGAUUGUGGCAUGAUUCGUCACUAAGUAACAGAAAAGAAACUUUCAUCUGGAGGCUCAAAUUGGUUUCACAAAGGAUAAUAGGAAUAUAAAAAAGGUGGCUAUAAAGGCUCAAGGUACUUUUAGCCUGUAAUUUCGACAAGCUCAUUUAAUGUGGUUAACAUUUAGUUAACUUUUAACUUUGCAGGAAUCAAAGACUUUCUCAUUUUAAUUUAAGGAUUUCGACAAGAUAGCAAGCCUAGCGCGCAUGGUUAAGAGUUUGAUAGAGCAAGAUUAAAAGCGUAAUUGCGUUGAAGUCAAGCAGACAAGGAGGGAAAGAUACGAUUUCAAGCUCAAAGGCAGUUUCCUUAGUGGGAACAUGGGGACAAGCGGUUGUCCAAGAUGGAGGAAGUGCUGAUCAUGGGAUUAGUCUUUUGCCAGUUAUUUUCUUUAUGUAUAUAUAAAUAAGAGUUUCCUAGUCGGAAAAUGGGUCACAAAUCAUUUAUAGAAAUUCUACAACACUCAAACUACCAGCGCAUAGGGAAACGAGUUAUACAGAAUGUAUAUAAACUGAUUUGUAGACCAUUUUAUUUUUAAUGCAAUGCAUUUUACAUUCCUUUAAGUUUAUGCGUUUAAACUUUU
RNAcentral lists this long non-coding RNA (1511 nucleotides) under Medicago truncatula (barrel medic). RNAcentral describes it as "long non-coding RNA (MTRU_LNC000504)". The record is from RNAcentral. Lineage: Eukaryota; Viridiplantae; Streptophyta; Magnoliopsida; Fabales; Fabaceae.